This 195-nucleotide unclassified non-coding RNA is filed under the name uncultured Basidiomycota. Its description in RNAcentral is "sequence contains ITS2". The record is from RNAcentral. Lineage: Eukaryota; Fungi; Basidiomycota.
AAUUCUCAACCCUUAACUUCUUUUUGAAGCUCUGGGCUUGGACUGUGGAGGUUUGCCGGUGAAAAUUGGCUCCUCUGAAAUGCAUUAGCGGAACUGUUUGCGAUCUGCCACAAGUGUGAUAAUUAUCUACACUGGCUAGGGGGAUUGCUCUCAUAGAGUUCAGCUUCUAAUAGUCUUAGGACAAACUUAAUGAAA